AGUGAACGCUGGCGGUAGGCCUAACACAUGCAAGUCGAACGGCAGCACAGUAAGAGCGUGCUCUUACGGGGGGCGAGAGGCGGACGGAAGAGGAAUACAACGGAAUCUACUUUUUCGGGGGGGAUAACGAAGGGAAACUUAAGAUAAUACAGCAUACGACCUACGGGGGAAAGCAGGGGAACUUCGGACCUGGCGCGAUUGAACGAGCCGAUGACGGAUUAGCUAGUUGGCGGGGUAAAGGCCCACGAAGGCGACGAUCCGUAGCUGGUCUGAGAGGCUGGUCGGCCGCACUGGAACGUGGCCACGGUCCAUGCUCCUGCGGGACGCAGCAGUGUGGAAUAUUGGGCAAUGGGCGCAAGCCUUGUCCAGCCAUACCGCGUGGGUUGAGAAGGCCUUCCGGUUGUAAAGCCCUUUUGUUGGUAAAGAAAAGCAUCAGGUUGUUACCCCGCUUUUCUGACGGUACCCAGUGAAUAAGCACCGGCUAACUUCGUG
RNAcentral lists this ribosomal RNA (492 nucleotides) under uncultured bacterium. Its description in RNAcentral is "partial 16S ribosomal RNA". It matches the Rfam family "Bacterial small subunit ribosomal RNA", at positions 29 to 507 of the family's 1533-position model. The record is from RNAcentral.